AAAAUUCCAACAAUGUAAUAUUAUUUAUACAAGCUACAAAAAUGUGAAUAUGGUAAAAUAUAAUCAAAUCAAUUUACAAUUAGAAGUUUAAUAAAAGGGAGAAUAUUAAAGAGAGAUAUGUGGAUCUGAAUUAUCAGUUUUGAGCUUGGAGGUGUUUGGGCGUCUACCUUGUUGUGUGCUUUACUUUGUGACUUGGCCUCAGGUUGCAGAUCGUCCGUCCCCUCUUUCUCAACUAUAUUGCUGUGUUUUACACAUAAUAACCAAAUAAACCAGAUAUUAAAAUUAAUUUUUCGUAAUAAUUUAAAAUAUUUAUUGGGUAAAAAGCUUCAUUUUUUUUAAAAAAAAAUCAAAAUGGGAGGAAGAUAAAGUUAAAUUUGUUAGUAAAUUUAAUAAAAAUUUGUUUUACCAAGCACAAAAUACAGUUAAAAUUAUUUUAAAUCAGUCCUAACACUGCUAAAGUUAACCCCAAAAUGCUCCCAAAAAUAUUUAAAAAAAAAAAGACGAAAAAAGAAAAAGAAAAAGGGAUGCAAGGAGGCCCCCAUUGAAAUUUUUUUAACUUACAACGUAGAAUAGGAGAUGAUUCAUUGGUGUAUGUGGGGGUCAAGCAUCUUACUUUCCUUUCUUUUCUUUUCUUUUUUUUCGUUUUUCUCUUUUUCUUCCUUUAUAUGCCCAUCAUAUUACAAAUAAGAUGGAAAAGAUUCAAACCAAAAUAACUCUUAUCAAACGUCUAGGAAUUUCCAAAAUUGUCAAAAUUACAUAUACA
This 763-nucleotide long non-coding RNA is filed under the name Cucumis sativus (cucumber). Its description in RNAcentral is "long non-coding RNA (CSAT_LNC002401)". The record is from RNAcentral. Lineage: Eukaryota; Viridiplantae; Streptophyta; Magnoliopsida; Cucurbitales; Cucurbitaceae.